Molecule: ribosomal RNA, 472 nt
Filed under: Sonora cincta (Variable sandsnake)
Lineage: Eukaryota; Metazoa; Chordata; Lepidosauria; Squamata; Colubridae
Description: partial 12S ribosomal RNA
Source: RNAcentral
CCCUACUAUGCCUAGCCCUAACACAAUAAUAAAAUCACCAAUUAUUCGCCAAAUAACUACGAGUACAAACUUAAAAUUUAAAAGACUUGACGGUACCUCAUAACGACCUAGAGGAGCCUGUCAAAUAACCGAUACCCCACGAUUAACCCCACCCCCCCUAGCCUACAGUCUAUAUACCGCCGUCGCCAGCCCACCUUAUGAAAGAAAUAAAGUGAGCCAAAUAGCUACACACUAACACGACAGGUCGAGGUGUAACUAAUGGGGGGGUAAAAGAUGGGCUACAUUUUCUAGUACAGAAAACACGAAUAAACUAUGAAACAAGAAACUGAAGGCGGAUUUAGCAGUAUAUUUAGAAUAGAAUGCUUAAUAGAAAUUAACGCAAUGAGGUGUGUACACACCGCCCGUCAUCCCUGUCAAAUCAACCCUAAAACAUACAUAAUUAAACAUAAUUACUAAAACAGGGCAAGUCGUA